GUCUAUGGCCAUGCCACCCUGAACAAGCCCGAUCCUGUCUGAUCUCAGAAGGUAAGCAGGGUCGGGCCUAGUUAGUACUUGGAUGGGAGACGACCUAGGAAGACCAGGUGCUGUAGGCA
RNAcentral lists this ribosomal RNA (119 nucleotides) under Pteropus alecto (black flying fox). The record is from RNAcentral. Lineage: Eukaryota; Metazoa; Chordata; Mammalia; Chiroptera; Pteropodidae.